RNAcentral lists this ribosomal RNA (462 nucleotides) under Ligilactobacillus salivarius. RNAcentral describes it as "bacterial SSU rRNA". It matches the Rfam family "Bacterial small subunit ribosomal RNA", at positions 1 to 438 of the family's 1533-position model. The record is from RNAcentral. Lineage: Bacteria; Bacillati; Bacillota; Bacilli; Lactobacillales; Lactobacillaceae.
UUAAAAUGAGAGUUUGAUCCUGGCUCAGGACGAACGCUGGCGGCGUGCCUAAUACAUGCAAGUCGAACGAAACUUUCUUACACCGAAUGCUUGCAUUCAUCGUAAGAAGUUGAGUGGCGGACGGGUGAGUAACACGUGGGUAACCUGCCUAAAAGAAGGGGAUAACACUUGGAAACAGGUGCUAAUACCGUAUAUAUCUAAGGAUCGCAUGAUCCUUAGAUGAAAGAUGGUUCUGCUAUCGCUUUUAGAUGGACCCGCGGCGUAUUAACUAGUUGGUGGGGUAACGGCCUACCAAGGUGAUGAUACGUAGCCGAACUGAGAGGUUGAUCGGCCACAUUGGGACUGAGACACGGCCCAAACUCCUACGGGAGGCAGCAGUAGGGAAUCUUCCACAAUGGACGCAAGUCUGAUGGAGCAACGCCGCGUGAGUGAAGAAGGUCUUCGGAUCGUAAAACUCUGUUG